RNAcentral lists this transfer RNA (68 nucleotides) under Podarcis lilfordi (Lilford's wall lizard). Its description in RNAcentral is "tRNA.Ile". The record is from RNAcentral. Lineage: Eukaryota; Metazoa; Chordata; Lepidosauria; Squamata; Lacertidae.
GAAACUCAGUUGGUUAGAGUAUGGUGCUUAUAAUGUCAAGGUUGCAGGUUUGAUCCCCGUAUGGGACA